UUUUUAUGUUGGAGUUUGUUUUUGAGAUUUUAUGUCAAACUCAUUUAAUUUCAAUUGCUUAUUAUAUACAACUAUUUGAUAUUUGAGACUUUUAUGCUUGGGUGAAGCAUGUGCGACACUCUAAUAUGUGAUUUUUAUUUGAAAUGUUUUAUUAUAUGUCGAUACGGGGAAUAGGGUGUUACAUAGUGGUAUCAGAGCAGGUCGGUUCGUCCGGGAUUUUG
Molecule: long non-coding RNA, 221 nt
Filed under: Lathyrus oleraceus (garden pea)
Lineage: Eukaryota; Viridiplantae; Streptophyta; Magnoliopsida; Fabales; Fabaceae
Description: Pisum sativum (pea) long non-coding RNA (PSAT_LNC028903)
Source: RNAcentral